CCUACGGGUGGCAGCAGUGAGGAAUAUUGGUCAAUGGGCGGAAGCCUGAACCAGCCAAGUAGCGUGCAGGAUGACGGCCCUACGGGUUGUAAACUGCUUUUAUACGGGAAUAACGCGCCUUACGUGUAGGGCUUUGCAUGUACCGUAUGAAUAAGGACCGGCUAAUUCCGUGCCAGCAGCCGCGGUAAUACGGAAGGUCCGGGCGUUAUCCGGAUUUAUUGGGUUUAAAGGGAGCGUAGGCCGCACGUCAAGCGUGCUGUGAAAUUUCCGGGCUCAACCCGGGCCUGGCAGCGGAAACUGGCUGGCUUGAGUCGGCGGAAAGCAGGCGGAAUUCGUGGUGUAGCGGUGAAAUGCAUAGAUAUGACGAAGAACCCCGAUUGCGAAGGCAGCUUGCUGCAGCAGAACUGACGCUGAUGCUCGAAGGCGCGGGUAUCGAACAGGAUUAGAUACCCUAGUAGUC
This 460-nucleotide ribosomal RNA is filed under the name uncultured bacterium. RNAcentral describes it as "partial 16S ribosomal RNA". It matches the Rfam family "Bacterial small subunit ribosomal RNA", at positions 338 to 795 of the family's 1533-position model. The record is from RNAcentral.